Molecule: non-coding RNA, 359 nt
Organism: Leptonychotes weddellii (Weddell seal)
Lineage: Eukaryota; Metazoa; Chordata; Mammalia; Carnivora; Phocidae
Source: RefSeq, a predicted model, not a curated record
AUGUGUUAUGUCACCAAGAAAAGCGGGUCUCGUGGUGGUGGCAGCAGGCGCGCCCUCGACGUGCAGAACGACGCCGGCGAGUUCGUGGACCUGUACGUGCCGCGGAAAUGCUCCGCCAGCAACCGCAUCAUCGGCGCCAAGGACCACGCGUCCAUCCAGAUGAACGUGGCCGAGGUUGAUAAGGUGACGGGCAGGUUCAACAGCCAGUUCAAAACCUACGCUAUCUGUGGGGCCAUUCGCAGGAUGGGUGAGUCCGAUGACUCCAUCCUCCGACUGGCCAAGGCCGAUGGCAUCGUUUCCAAGAACUUCUGACUGGAGAUCACGGAUGUGGGAUGUUUGUCAUAAAUAAAUAGUAAAAC